RNAcentral lists this non-coding RNA (29 nucleotides) under Mus musculus (house mouse). Lineage: Eukaryota; Metazoa; Chordata; Mammalia; Rodentia; Muridae. The record is from RNAcentral.
UGAUAAGUUAUAAUUAUCUAAGUACAAAC